GGGUGUGAGCCUUUUUUGGGAGAGGGUCUUUUGGCGUGUGCAUCCUAAGAUUUCGAUCUAGGGUUUCGCGAAGAGAGAAAAGUGAGAAGAGUAUCUUCUCUUCACCUUGUUCCACCACAUCCUCCUCAUAAAUAUCCAUCUUCAUCCUUGAAAGAGUCCAAGUGAUUCGAAGAAGAAACGUGAUCAACCAUCAAUAGGAUCUCUGCGCAAGUUAGCACUCUCGAGAGAUUGAUCAGGUUCAGGGCUUCAUGUGGAUGUCCUGUAG
RNAcentral lists this long non-coding RNA (265 nucleotides) under Elaeis guineensis (African oil palm). RNAcentral's name for it is "long non-coding RNA (EGUI_LNC060556)". The record is from RNAcentral. Lineage: Eukaryota; Viridiplantae; Streptophyta; Magnoliopsida; Arecales; Arecaceae.